AUGAUGCAGACUCUUUAAAAUAAGAUCGAGUUGAUAGAAAAUGAAUCGAGAUUAGUCAUAACAAUUUCGCUCAGGCACAUAAAAGAUAUCAAGUGAAUCAUGACAUGUGUAUUGACUAAAAUGGCAUGCCCUAAUAUGACACAUGCAGAAAUAAAAUUCAGAACCUCUUAGAAUGGGAAGGGCUUAGAACUAGCUCUUAUACUGUGCUACCCAAAAGAUUGUUAAUAGAAAAUGGAAUAGGGUUAGGCCCUGUUUGGCCUAACUAUUUUACAGUGAUUUUCGGCUGAAAAUCACUUUUAGGCCCAAUAGAGUGUUUGGUAAAGAUAUCUCAAAAAUCUGAUUCUGUUUUCUAAAAACUGAAAACUUAUUCUUCAACCCCCAAAAGCAGAAGCUGAAAAAACCUGCUUCUCAAAACUGAUUCCCGCACAAGUUGUUUCCCCACUUAAAAUUUUUUACUAAAAUACCAAAAUUACUCUUAAACAAACAAUACAAUUCUAUCAUACCCUUUUAUAAUUAAUAAUACCUCUCCCAUUACUCACAAUUCUAUUAUACUCUUUUAUAAAAAUUUUACAAAUUUGAAAUUAAAAUUUUAAAUAUUCAAAAUUUAAAUUUUAAAAUUUUAAAAUUUUAAAAUAUAAAAUUUAAUAUUUAAAAUUUAAAAUUUAAAUUUUAAAAUAUAAAAUAUAAAAUUUAAAAUUUAAAAUUUAAAAUUUAAAUUUUAAAAUAUAAAAUUUAAUAUNN
RNAcentral lists this long non-coding RNA (741 nucleotides) under Ananas comosus (pineapple). RNAcentral's name for it is "long non-coding RNA (ACOM_LNC023938)". Lineage: Eukaryota; Viridiplantae; Streptophyta; Magnoliopsida; Poales; Bromeliaceae. The record is from RNAcentral.